RNAcentral lists this long non-coding RNA (1030 nucleotides) under Homo sapiens (human). Its description in RNAcentral is "non-protein coding LINC00273:3". The record is from RNAcentral. Lineage: Eukaryota; Metazoa; Chordata; Mammalia; Primates; Hominidae.
CGAACCGCGGCGACCGGGACGGGCUCCCCCACCCUCUCCCUGGCGGAUCCUUCCUACUUGCCUUCCUCCCCCCGGCAACAAGCCCCCACUACCCACGACGAUCGACAACGACGGCACGGGACCUUCCACCCCGCCAGGGCCAACGAACCCCGCACCACGAGCUGCGUGAGGCGCGAGGGAGCCUCCGAGGGAGGAAUCUGGACCGCGGUGGUGGCCACGGGAACUCGGCCCCAGCCGGCUCUCUUCCCUCUCUGUUUUCGCGGGUGGCGGUGCCGCCCUCUCUCUCUUCCUCACAGCCGGGAGUCCCCCUUCCCCAUGCCACCCAAUGCGUGACCACACAGGGCCUGCGGGGGGAGGGAGAAGGGGCGGGCACGGCGGCAGAGGAGGGCGGACGUCGCCGGUCUGCACUUGGGGGGACGGAGGGCCCCGGCAGGCCACGUCAGGGAACCCCCAGCCAUGCACCCCGAGGAGCCCGGAGGCCACUUGUCCCUCUAAGAAGUUGGGGGACGCCGACCGCUCGGGGGUCACGUAACUAGUUAGCAUGCCAGAGUCUCGUUGGUUAUUGGAAUUAACCAGACAAAUCACUCCACCAACUAAGGCCAUGCACCACCACCCAUGGAACAGAGAAACAGCUAUCAAUCUGUCAUGCGCCGGUCCAAGAAUUUCACCUCUAGCGGUGCAAUACAAAUGCCCCCAGCUGUCCCUCUUAAUCAUGGCCUCAGUUCCAUAAACCAACAAAAUAGAACCGCGGUCCUAUUCCAUUAUUCCUAGCUGCGGUAUCCAGGCGGCUUGGACCUGCUUUGAACACUCUAAUUUUUUCAAAGUAAACGCUUUGGGCCGCGGAACACUCAGCUAAGAGCAUCGAGGGGGCGCCAAGAGCUUUUUAACUGCAGCAACUUUAAUAUACGCUAUUGGAGCUGGAAUUACCGCGGCUGCUGGCACUAAACUUGCCCUCCAAUGGAUCUUCGUUAAAGGAUUUAAAGUGGACUCAUUCCAAUUACAGGACCUCGAAAGAGUCCUGUAUUGUUAU